Molecule: long non-coding RNA, 746 nt
Organism: Crotalus tigris (Tiger rattlesnake)
Lineage: Eukaryota; Metazoa; Chordata; Lepidosauria; Squamata; Viperidae
Exons: 3
Source: RefSeq, a predicted model, not a curated record
UUUGAAUUCGACUGGAUUGUUCUAGGGCGGAUUCAAAGAUGCUCGGAUUGGAAUGACACCUCCGGGUCACGGGUUCAGGAAAUUGAGACUCCCCAGAAGUUGUUGGACUACAGCUCCCAUCAGAACCAGCUCACAUGGCCAUUACCCAGGAAUCAUGGGAACUAAAGUCUCAUAGUAUCUGGAAGAUACAUUUUUCAUACUGUGCUGUGUUAUGAAUCCUGGGCUCCCUCAAUGACAAAGAUCAAGAGUUACAACAGAAAGGAAGAUUAUAAAGGCAGGAAGAGAGGAACAACAUCAAAAUCAAUUUGGAAAUGGGAGGACGUGGCAGAGUGAAAGGUGGUUACAGGGGGCUAAGAUGGUUUCCUCAAAACUUUACUUCUUUAGAAACUAUUUUAGCUGUUAUAAAUGUCAUGCCAGCUUAUAGCUGCCUUUGCUGAGGUUAAUGACAGUUGGGGGAAAAAAAGAACUCUCAGACCUUUAUGCAUUUUAUAGAGUUAUUGGCUAGCUAUUGCCAGAACACAACUGAACCCAAGGGAAAGUCAAAUACAAAUAUCUAAAACAUCCAUUUUCUUUUUGAUAGUUAACUGGGCUGUCCUAGUAUAAAUAGCAUCUAGAUCCAGUGGGCAUUUGAUAUUGGUACUUUAAAUUUACAAUAUUGCAAAGUUGUGUCUUCUGCAGUAAUUGAUAAUGGUACUUCAAAGCUGAGAACUGGCCUAUGUCAUUACUUUGUAUUCCAUACAAACCUG